GACGAACGCUGGCGGCGUGCUUAACGCAUGCAAGUCGAACGGAAAGGCCCUGCUUUUGUGGGGUGCUCGAGUGGCGAACGGGUGAGUAACACGUGAGUAACCUGCCCUUGACUUUGGGAUAACUUCAGGAAACUGGGGCUAAUACCGGAUAGGAGCUCCUGCUGCAUGGUGGGGGUUGGAAAGUUUCGGCGGUUGGGGAUGGACUCGCGGCUUAUCAGCUUGUUGGUGGGGUAGUGGCUUACCAAGGCUUUGACGGGUAGCCGGCCUGAGAGGGUGACCGGCCACAUUGGGACUGAGAUACGGCCCAGACUCCUACGGGAGGCAGCAGUGGGGAAUAUUGCACAAUGGGCGGAAGCCUGAUGCAGCAACGCCGCGUGCGGGAUGACGGCCUUCGGGUUGUAAACCGCUUUCGCCUGGGACGAAGCGUGAGUGACGGUAAUGGGUAAAGAAGCACCGGCUAACUACGUG
RNAcentral lists this ribosomal RNA (468 nucleotides) under uncultured bacterium. RNAcentral describes it as "partial 16S ribosomal RNA". It matches the Rfam family "Bacterial small subunit ribosomal RNA", at positions 28 to 507 of the family's 1533-position model. The record is from RNAcentral.